UACGGGAGGCAGCAGUGGGGAAUAUUGCACAAUGGGCGAAAGCCUGAUGCAGCUAUGCCGCGUGUAUGAAGAAGGCCUUAGGGUUGUAAAGUACUUUCAUCGGGGAGGAAAAACAAAACUAAUAAUUUUAUUUCUUGACGUUACCCGAAAAAGAAGCACCGGCUAACUCCGUGCCAGCAGCCGCGGUAAUACGGAGGGUGCUAGCGUUAAUCAGAAUUACUGGGCGUAAAGAGCACGUAGGUGGUUUUUUUAAGUCAGAUGUGAAAUCCCUGGGCUUAACCUAGGAACUGCAUUUUGAAACUGAAAUACUAGAGUAUCGUAGAGGGAGGUAGAAUUCUAGGUGUAGCGGUGAAAUGCGUAGAUAUCUGGAGGAAUACCUGUGGCGAAAGCGGCCUCCUAAACGAAUACUGACACUGAGGUGCGAAAGCGUGGGGAGCGAAAC
This 442-nucleotide ribosomal RNA is filed under the name uncultured bacterium. Its description in RNAcentral is "bacterial SSU rRNA". It matches the Rfam family "Bacterial small subunit ribosomal RNA", at positions 340 to 774 of the family's 1533-position model. The record is from RNAcentral.